Molecule: ribosomal RNA, 433 nt
Filed under: uncultured bacterium
Lineage: Bacteria
Description: partial 16S ribosomal RNA
Rfam family: Bacterial small subunit ribosomal RNA
Source: RNAcentral
AACGAACGCUGGCGGCAUGCCUAACACAUGCAAGUCGAACGAGACCUUCGGGUCUAGUGGCGCACGGGUGCGUAACGCGUGGGAACCUGCCCUUAGGUUCGGAAUAACUCCCCGAAAGGGGUGCUAAUACCGGAUAAUUUCUUCGGACCAAAGAUUUAUCGCCUUUGGAUGGGCCCGCGUUGGAUUAGCUAGUUGGUAGGGUAAAAGCCUACCAAGGCGACGAUCCAUAGCUGGUCUGAGAGGAUGAUCAGCCACACUGGGACUGAGACACGGCCCAGACUACUACGGGAGGAAGCAGUGGGGAAUAUUGGAAAAUGGGCGAAAGCCUGAUCAAGCAAUGCCGCGUGAGUGAUGAAGGCCUUAGGGUUGUAAAGCUCUUUUAACCGGGAUGAUAAUGACAGUACCGGGAGAAUAAGCUCCGGCUAACUCCGUG